AUAUAAAAGAGUGUGUAGAUCCUGGGUCUACAUCUUAGCCAAGGUACUAGAGAUAGUGAGCAUACCUUGGAUCACAUCCUAAGAGGCUUCAACAUCUCUCUCUAUGAGGGCAUAUACUCUUUCUUGAAUUUUUAGCCUAGUUUGCUCUUUGUUGAUAAGACACUCUUUGAUCUGAUGUUGAGUAUUACCACAUCUGAAGCAUCCAUUUGUCAGCUUGUACUAGGGUCUGCUACCAUGGUUUUUCCCAUAAUGGGGGUAUAUCUGCUUUCGCCCUUGUGUUGAGCCUAUGACACCUAUCUUUUGCCUUUUCGUAGGUUGUUAUGGCUUCUGAGCCUUCCUCUUAUUGUUUAGUAUGAAUGGUCGAACCUGUUGGAUCUGUUGUGGGAUUGGGCUUGUAGGCUCUUCUGCAAUCUGGGCCCAUUCCAAUGCUUUUUGGUAGUCAUUAAUUUUCAAAAUUAAGAUUUUAU
This 467-nucleotide long non-coding RNA is filed under the name Carica papaya (papaya). RNAcentral describes it as "long non-coding RNA (CPAP_LNC008968)". Lineage: Eukaryota; Viridiplantae; Streptophyta; Magnoliopsida; Brassicales; Caricaceae. The record is from RNAcentral.